RNAcentral lists this ribosomal RNA (253 nucleotides) under uncultured bacterium. RNAcentral's name for it is "partial 16S ribosomal RNA". It matches the Rfam family "Bacterial small subunit ribosomal RNA", at positions 524 to 776 of the family's 1533-position model. The record is from RNAcentral.
UAGGUAGGGGGCAAGCGUUGUCCGGAAUCAUUGGGCGUAAAGCGCGUGUAGGCGGUCCGGUAAGGCGGUUGGGAAAGUCCAGGGCUCAACCCUGGGAUGCCGACCGAUACUGUCGGACUAGAGUGCGGAAGAGGCGAGUGGAAUUCCCGGUGUAGCGGUGAAAUGCGCAGAUAUCGGGAGGAACACCAAUGGCGAAGGCAGCUCGCUGGGACGUUACUGACGCUGAGACGCGAAAGCGUGGGGAGCAAACAGG